RNAcentral lists this ribosomal RNA (3011 nucleotides) under Gammaproteobacteria bacterium. RNAcentral describes it as "23S ribosomal RNA". It matches the Rfam family "Bacterial large subunit ribosomal RNA". Lineage: Bacteria; Pseudomonadati; Pseudomonadota; Gammaproteobacteria. The record is from RNAcentral.
UGGUAAGUUACUAAGGGCAUAUGGUGGAUGCCUUGGCACGAGAAGGCGAUGAAGGACGUGGUAAGCUGCGAUAAGCUUCGGGUAGGUGCAAACAACCUUUGACCCGGAGAUUUCCGAAUGGGGCAACCUGUCCGCCGUAAUGGGCGGACACUUCCUGCUGAAUAUAUAGGCAGGAUAGAGCGAACGAGGGGAACUGAAACAUCUCAGUACCUUUAGGAAAAGAAAGCAAUCGCGAUUCCCUAAGUAGCGGCGAGCGAAAAGGGAACAGCCUAAACUUUCUCUAUGUUAAAGCCUGCACGCGUUGUAGAGAGAGGGUUGUGGGAUUUAGUCGGGUAAAAGUGUAGUUUUACCGGGAAGUUACAAAUUAUCCAUUUAGUCGAAUGUCUCUGGAAAGAUCAGCCAAAGAGGGUGAUAGCCCCGUAGACGAAGAAUGCGAUAACUUCUUGGGCUAAAUUCCCAAGUACUGCGAGACACGUGGAAUCUCGCAGGAAUCUGGGUGGACCAUCACCCAAGGCUAAAUACUCUCUCGUGACCGAUAGUGAACUAGUACCGUGAGGGAAAGGUGAAAAGUACCGGGGAACCGGAGUGAAAUAGUACCUGAAACCAUAUGCUUACAAACAGUCGGAGUCCUGAUUCGUCGGGAUGACGGCGUGCCUUUUGCAUAAUGAACUGGUGAGUUACUCGUAUAUUGCAAGGUUAAUCUGUUCAGCAGAGUAGCCGUAGCGAAAGCGAGUCUGAAUAGGGCGAUUAGUAAUAUGCGGUAGACGCGAAACCGAGUGAUCUAUCCAUGGUCAGGAUGAAGCGGUUGUAAAAGAUCGUGAAGGUCCGAACCCACCAGGGUUGAAAACCUGGGGGAUGAACUGUGGAUAGGGGUGAAAGGCCAAUCAAACUCGGAGAUAGCUCGUUCUCCCCGAAAUAGCUUUAGGGCUAGCCUCGUAUAAUAGAGUGACGGAGGUAGAGCACUGAUUGGGCUAGGGCCCUCACAAGGGUACCAACCCCUGACAAACUCCGAAUGCCGUACACUUGUUCUACGGGAGUCAGGCUAUGGGGGAUAAGCUUCAUAGCCGAGAGGGAAACAACCCAGACCGUCAGUUAAGGUCCCUAAGUGUGAGCUAAGUGAUAAAGGAUGUGGGAUUGCUCAGACAACCAGGAUGUUGGCUUAGAAGCAGCCAUCAUUUAAAGAGUGCGUAAUAGCUCACUGGUCAAGUGAGCCUGCGCCGACAAUAAUCGGGACUUAAGCUCAUCACCGAAACUACGGUUCCGCCUCAGGCGGAAGGUAGGGGAGCGUUCCAUUAACCUGCGAAGGUGUUCUGCGAAGAAUGCUGGAGGAGAUGGAAAUGAGUAUGCCAGCAUGAGUAGCGAUAAACCCGGUGAGAAUCCGGGUCACCGAAAGUCUAAGGUUUCCUGAGUAAAGUUAAUCUUCUCAGGGUUAGUCGGAUCCUAAGCCGAGGCCAAAAGGCGUAGGUAAUGGGAAACAGGUUUAAUAUUCCUGUACCAUCUGUAAAUCGUUUGAGUUAUGGGGUGACGCAGAAGUGACAGGUUAGCCGGACUCUGGAUUGCCGGUCUAAGUGUGUAGGAGGAUCGGAUAGGCAAAUCCGUCCGAUCAUAACUCCGAGACACGAAUGGGAGGGCUUAGCCCACAAACUGACCGUAAUCAUGCUGCCAAGAAAAACCUCUAUAGGAGAUUUAUAGGUGACCGUACCGCAAACCGACACAGGUAGAUGGGGUGAGAAUCCUAAGGUGCUCGAGAUAACUCUGGUUAAGGAACUAGGCAAAAUGGCUCCGUAACUUCGGGAGAAGGAGCGCCCUGAGUAUGUGAAUCCAAUCACUGGAGGAGCAGAAAAGGGCCUCAGUGAAAAUGCCUGGGCGACUGUUUACUAAAAACACAGGUCUCUGCUAAGUCGUAAGACGAAGUAUAGGGACUGACACCUGCCCGGUGCUGGAAGGUUAAGGGGAGAUGUCAUCCUGAGCUUGUCGAGGGAGAAGCAUUGAACCGAAGCCCCAGUAAACGGCGGCCGUAACUAUAACGGUCCUAAGGUAGCGAAAUUCCUUGUCGGGUAAGUUCCGACCUGCACGAAUGGCGUAACGACUUGGGCACUGUCUCAACCAGAGGCUCGGCGAAAUUGUAGCACCGGUGAAGAUGCCGGUUACCCGCGACAGGACGGAAAGACCCCGUGAACCUUUACUAUAGCUUAGCAUUGGGUUUUGGUAUUGCAUGUGUAGGAUAGGUGGGAGACUGUGAAAUGGCAACGCCAGUUGUCAUGGAGUCGUCGUUGAAAUACCACCCUUGUUCUACCGGAAUCCUAACUCAGAACCGUGAAUCCGGUUCGGGGACCAUGCUAGGUGGGUAGUUUGACUGGGGCGGUCGCCUCCCAAAGCGUAACGGAGGCGCCCAAAGGUUCCCUCAGCACGGUCGGUAAUCGUGCGUAGAGUGUAAAGGCAUAAGGGAGCUUGACUGCGAGACAUACAGGUCGAGCAGGUGCGAAAGCAGGGCUUAGUGAUCCGGCGGUUGCGAGUGGAAGCGCCGUCGCUCAACGGAUAAAAGGUACUCCGGGGAUAACAGGCUGAUCAGGCCCAAGAGUUCACAUCGACGGCCUGGUUUGGCACCUCGAUGUCGGCUCAUCGCAUCCUGGGGCUGGAGAAGGUCCCAAGGGUUUGGCUGUUCGCCAAUUAAAGCGGUACGUGAGCUGGGUUUAGAACGUCGUGAGACAGUUCGGUCCCUAUCUGUCGCGGGCGUAGGAUAUUUGAGAGGAGCUGCUCCUAGUACGAGAGGACCGGAGUGGACGAACCUCUAGUGUACCAGUUGUCGCGCCAGCGGCACUGCUGGGUAGCUAUGUUCGGAAGGGAUAAGCGCUGAAAGCAUCUAAGUGCGAAGCCCACCUCAAGAUAAGAUAUCCCUCCCGACUUCGGUCGGGACUGAAGGCUCCUUGGAGAUUACAAGGCGAUAGGCCACAGGUGUAAGUAUGGUAACAUAUUCAGCCGAGUGGUACUAAUAAGCCGUGCGGCUUACU